CUGGGCUUGACAUGACGGUGUAAGGCGUGGAAACACGCCCCCUCUUCGGAGCACCGCCACAGAUGUUGCAUGGCUGUCGUCAGCUCGUGUCGUGAGAUGUUGGGUUAAGUCCCGCAACGAGCGCAACCCUCGUGCGAUGUUGCAGUUAUCAUCGCAGACUGCCCUUAACGGGGAGGAAGGUGGGGAUGACGUCAAGUCCGCAUGGCUCUUACGUCCAGGGCGACACACACGCUACAAUGGCCGGGACAAUGCGCAGCCACCCCGCGAGGGGGAGCGAAUCGCCGAAACCCGGUCUCAGUUCGGAUCCCAGGCUGCAACCCGCCUGGGUGAAGUCGGAGUUGCUAGUAACCGCGUGUCAGCACAGCGCGGUGAAUAUGUUCCCGGGCCUUGUACACACCGCCCGUCACGUCAUGAAAGCGGGUCACACCUGAAGUCCGUGGGCCGACCGCAAGGGGGCAGCGGCCGAGGGUGGGGCCGGUGAUUGGGACG
RNAcentral lists this ribosomal RNA (489 nucleotides) under uncultured bacterium. RNAcentral's name for it is "bacterial SSU rRNA". It matches the Rfam family "Bacterial small subunit ribosomal RNA", at positions 975 to 1482 of the family's 1533-position model. The record is from RNAcentral.